UAGGGAAUCUUCGGCAAUGGGGGGAACCCUGACCGAGCAACGCCGCGUGAGUGAAGAAGGUUUUCGGAUCGUAAAGCUCUGUUGUUAAGGAAGAACGAGUGUGAGAAUGGAAAGUUCAUGCUGUGACGGUACUUAACCAGAAAGGGACGGCUAACUACGUGCCAGCAGCCGCGGUAAUACGUAGGUCCCGAGCGUUGUCCGGAUUUAUUGGGCGUAAAGCGAGCGCAGGCGGUUAGAAAAGUCUGAAGUGAAAGGCAGUGGCUCAACCAUUGUAGGCUUUGGAAACUGUUUAACUUGAGUGCAGAAGGGGAAAGUGGAAUUCCAUGUGUAGCGGUGAAAUGCGUAGAUAUAUGGAGGAGCACCGGUGGCGAAAGCGGCUCUCUGGUCUGUAACUGACGCUGAGGCUCGAAAGCGUGGGGAGCGAACAGG
RNAcentral lists this ribosomal RNA (429 nucleotides) under Bacteroidota bacterium. Its description in RNAcentral is "Bacteroidetes bacterium partial 16S ribosomal RNA". It matches the Rfam family "Bacterial small subunit ribosomal RNA", at positions 355 to 776 of the family's 1533-position model. Lineage: Bacteria; Pseudomonadati; Bacteroidota. The record is from RNAcentral.